UAGAGUUUGAUCAUGGCUCAGAUUGACCGUUGGCGGCAUGCGUAACACAUGCAAGUCGAACGGUGUUUGGCGCUUGCACCAGACAUAGUGGCGGACGGGUGAGUAAUGCGUAGGAAUCUGUCUUAGAGAGGGGGACAACCCGAGGAAACUUGGGCUAAAACCGCAUAUUCUCGAGAGAGGAAAGCAGGGGACCGGAAACGGCCUUGUGCUCUAAGGUGAGCCUACGUCGGAUUAGCUAGUUGGUAGGGUAAAAGCCUACCAAGGCGAUGAUCUGUAGCUGGUCUGAGAGGACGGACAGCCACACUGGGACUGAGACACGGCCCAGACUCCUACGGGAGGCAGCAGUGGGGAAUAUUGGACAAUGGGGGGAACCCUGAUCCAGCGAUGCCGCGUGUGUGAAGAAGGCCUGCGGGUUGUAAAGCACUUUCAGUGGGAAAGAGAAGCGUCUCGUGAAUAAUGGGACGUGGAGACGUUACUCACAGAAGAAGCACCGGCUAACUCUGUGCCAGCAGCCGC
RNAcentral lists this ribosomal RNA (516 nucleotides) under uncultured bacterium. RNAcentral's name for it is "bacterial SSU rRNA". It matches the Rfam family "Bacterial small subunit ribosomal RNA", at positions 1 to 518 of the family's 1533-position model. The record is from RNAcentral.